AGACCGUGACACUUGCACAAAAUGUUCCAGUUUUAAGGCCAGUGAAUAGAAAUAUACUUAUUCCAGUAGGAGGUGCCGUAACUCCUGUUUCUAACUAUGGAUAUGUUUCUAACUAUGGCAACGGGGGAAAUUUACUCAAUGAAAAUAACUUGGUUUGUGCACUCUGCCAGUAUAUGUACGAGAUGUAUUCUCCCGUAUGCGCUAAUUUCUGCAACUAUUGGUUAGGAGCCCAAGCUUUACGAGCUUCGUCUCAGCGUUUAACGCUUAUAAUAGGACUGAGACAAGUAUUGGUACCAGUGCACACUGUGAAAAUUUAUCCUUAUCAAUGGAAACGUCUAUAUUAAAGUGUUUCAUUACAAUUAUUAAAUUUGA
Saccostrea echinata is the source of this 372-nucleotide long non-coding RNA. RefSeq lists it as uncharacterized. The record is from RefSeq and is a predicted model, not a curated record. Lineage: Eukaryota; Metazoa; Mollusca; Bivalvia; Ostreida; Ostreidae. The transcript has 2 exons.